UCAAAGCUCUCCUUGGAUCAAAUCUCUACUUUCUCACUCUCUUGUUCUUGCUCAAGCUCUAGCUCUCGUUCAAGCUUUGUGUGGGAGUUGCUCUCAAGGUUGUGUGUUUUAGUUCUUCAACUUCUUCUUCCUCUCUUGUGUAUGCUGAGAGUGUGUUAGAAGAAAAAGAUCUACAUCUUGUAAGUGGUCCAAGUGUUGUGAAAGGUGUGUCUCAACAUCAACACUUGAUCGAAAGGUUAAACGAGUUCUACCAUAAAACUCGGUGUGGUUCUAUAGAGUUUCCAGAAAACUCUUAGGUUGAAUCUGCCUCAAAGGUUCAAGGGUUUUUAAGAGUUCCUUAAUACUCUUAGGUGGUUCACAAGCGUUUAGCCUUAAAGCUUGGCAAAGGUUUUUAAGAGUCCCUUAAUAUUUUUAGUGGGUUCACAAACGUUUAGCCUUAAAGCUUGGUAAAGGUUCUUAAGAGUUCCUUAAUACUCUUAGGUAGUUAACAAGCGUUUAGCCUUAAAGUUUGGCAGAGGUUUUUAAAGAGUUCCUUAAUACUCUUAAGUGGUUAACAAACGUUUAGCCUUAAAGCUUGGCAGAGGUUUUGCCAUUACCUUUAGGCUAGUGAUCUCCGUGUUUCAUCGGAACUGGAUUAGCCCUCGUUUGGGUGAACCGGUAUAAAAAUCUAUGUGUCUCUUUUUAUUUUCCGCUUUUCUAUUUUUAAAGUCAUAACAAGAUAAAAAAAGCAACUAAAAAGAGAUCUCUCAUCCAGUUAUCUGGUCAUAGAUUGAGGUUAACUAUUUUCUUGCAGAUCCCUCAUCCAUUUAUCUGGUCAUUGACUGAGGUUACUUUUUGUUCAAAUAUAUAUCCAGUUACUUGGUCACUUAUACUUAUAUAUAUUUUAACUUAUAUUAUUAUUUGUGUGCUUAUAAGAGAACUUAGUGUUCAUAUACUACAUUUGACUUAAAAAGCAUUAUUUAUCAAGUUAGAAUAUAUAUUCAGUUAUCUGUUCAUUUGUUUUUAAACGUGUAGUUAUAUAACUUGGUAUUCAUAUUCAUAUACUACAGUUAUAUAUAUAAAGCACAAUCUUAUAAGUGGACUCGGUAUCUAUAUACUGUAGUAAAUUUAGAAAGAAUAUACAAUCUUUUUAUAUAUCCUUCUCUCUAACUUGUAUUCUCAGGUAUUUCGCAAAUCUUUUGAAAAAUCACGAAAAGAGGCUAUUACCCCCCGCUAAGCCUCUGAUCAAGAUCCUACAAGCCCCUGGUAGAAGAUCCAGUGUUUCAUCAAAACCGAAUAUCCAGCAACAAGAAGAAAAGGAUUGAAUAAAGGAACUCCCAAGCAUUUAUGGAUCUUAGACGUGUCCCUAUCGAUGGAACGAGUAACUCAUUAAUUCGAUGAAUCAUUUCUUCUAAAAGAAACGGAAAAAGAUUCUAUAAACCCUUCUUCGAAAUCUCACUUAUCGGAGUCUGUAAUUUUUUCAAAUUGUUUCAAUAUUAAACCAGGUCGACACUGGAUAAAACAUGGAAACAUGGAGUCAACGGUAUAAAUGAGAGGAUAGUAACCCAAAAUAAAUAAAUAAAAACGAGAAAUUCUUCAUUUUGAGAAAUAAAAAUAGAAAUAGAUCCUUACCUUUUGAAUCGAU
Molecule: long non-coding RNA, 1624 nt
Filed under: Zostera marina
Lineage: Eukaryota; Viridiplantae; Streptophyta; Magnoliopsida; Alismatales; Zosteraceae
Description: long non-coding RNA (ZMAR_LNC004134)
Source: RNAcentral